Molecule: ribosomal RNA, 246 nt
Filed under: uncultured Oscillospiraceae bacterium
Lineage: Bacteria; Bacillati; Bacillota; Clostridia; Eubacteriales; Oscillospiraceae
Description: partial 16S ribosomal RNA
Rfam family: Bacterial small subunit ribosomal RNA
Source: RNAcentral
CACGCCGUAAACGAUGGAUACUAGGUGUAGGAGGUAUCGACCCCUUCUGUGCCGGAGUUAACACAAUAAGUAUCCCACCUGGGGAGUACGGCCGCAAGGCUGAAACUCAAAGGAAUUGACGGGGGCCCGCACAAGCAGUGGAGUAUGUGGUUUAAUUCGAAGCAACGCGAAGAACCUUACCAGGGCUUGACAUACAGACGGAUGGUGUGGAAACACAUCAGACCUUCGGGACGUCUGUACAGGUGG